GCAGGGCUGUAGGCCCCCUCCCUCUCAAGCCCAACAAAUUUUUUCUAAAGGUAUUUUUUAUUUCUUUUGGUAAAAAAUCAGUUUUUUAUGUGUAAAUUUUUUUUUCCACGUAGUAGCCAGAUUUGAAAUUUUUUAGCCUGGUUUUGGAUCCAAUCCUGAAUCCGUCCCUGCAUAGCGGGUUUUGGGAAAGACUAUAGUCUUUUGAUGAUCAAAUCUUUCAGUUAGUUUUUUUAAAGAACUUGUGGAUCAUUCUUAGUGAGAUAUUCAAUUUUAGAUGUAUCGUGAAGAUGAUGACGAUAGAAGAUUAAUGUUUUUGCACGAUCUUAUAG
This 329-nucleotide long non-coding RNA is filed under the name Olea europaea subsp. europaea. Lineage: Eukaryota; Viridiplantae; Streptophyta; Magnoliopsida; Lamiales; Oleaceae. The record is from RNAcentral.